Long non-coding RNA from Microtus oregoni (creeping vole), 1115 nucleotides. RefSeq lists it as uncharacterized. The record is from RefSeq and is a predicted model, not a curated record. The transcript has 5 exons. NCBI's taxonomy places the organism in Eukaryota, Metazoa, Chordata, Mammalia, Rodentia, Cricetidae.
CGCGAGCGGCCAGUUGGCCUGGGAUGGGGAGUCCUAGGGUGGAGAUCCGGGUCCCGCGCGCCCGCUCCGGCCUCCCGGAGGUGGCACCACCUUUCUCCGAGCCGAAGGGCGCGGACUCCUGUAGCUAUCCGAGCAUCUGUGCUAGAGCAGCUCCCACCCGUGAAGCGGGGUCCAUUUAGUCAGCGCCGGGUGCCCAGACACCUUUGAGGCCCGCGGUCAUGGUUGAAGUUAUUCUCGGUGGCUAUGAAAACAUAAGAAGACAGGGUGCCUGACCGUGGUGCUCUAACAUACUGGGACUAUGAAGGAUGGUCAAGAGAACCGCAGACUUGCCUACUGGGACCCUAUCAGACUGUGGGAUCAGCAACACAACAUCCCCACUUCCAUCUUUCUUGCUAGAAACCGCAUGCCAGUGUGACCUGCCCCCCACUGUCCUCCUAUUGAAAACACACGAACAAGCUCUUCUUGAACAGGGUGGAAUCUUACAGCGUUCCCCUUUCUUCUUGAACACAUAUUUUCAGUUACAGGAAAAGAAACCAAGACGGGGAUAUCUAUACAAACCACAGUGAAUACUUGAGGAGCCUGGGAAGAAGUGACCAAAGACGUAAGAGAAAACUCAGAAGAAAGCAGGGCCCCUGAGACUGAGUCAGGAGACUUUCUGGAAGGAGGAAGCUCACAUUGUACAAUGCCUCUGCAAUAACUGAGGAAAGAUGUGCUUAUAGACCUUGGGAAAAAGAAGAGAACCAGGAAUAUGGCCAGUGAGCAUCAAGACAGGAGCAUGGACACCGCUGGUUCAUACAUAGAAACCGGAGGAAAGAGGCAAAGCAGACUGGUGGUGUUGCCUCACUUCCCCAAGUGUAACCCCUGAGCCCCUGGUGAUCUGCUUUUGUGACCUGUGGAAUUUUCUGCCUAUUGUUUUAAUGCCUUGUGGCCUAUAUAUUGUGUGAUUUAUUUAUUUAUUUUUUUGGUACAGCUGUUUGUCUGUUUGUUUAGUGUGUUUGUACCUGUGAAGACACAGCACUAUGCCUAUGUGGGCAGAGGCCAGCUUGCAAGAGUGGGUUCUCUUUUUCCAUCAUGUGGGCCCUGGUGUUAGAUCACCAGGCUUGGCACCUGUACUG